This 971-nucleotide long non-coding RNA is filed under the name Phascolarctos cinereus (koala). Its description in RNAcentral is "lncRNA (ENSPCIG00000026266.2)". The record is from RNAcentral. Lineage: Eukaryota; Metazoa; Chordata; Mammalia; Diprotodontia; Phascolarctidae.
CUCCUCUUCCCGCCCAGCACGAUGUGCCUUUCUGAUCAACCAUCCAGGCUGUCUUGGGCUGGAAAUUUGUUUUACUCUGUCUUUUUGUGGGUUCUGUUGCUUUAGAAUUUGUUUAGAGCCAUUUUUUAUAGGUAUUUGAAGGGUUUGGGGGAGAGCUCAAGCUAGUCACUGCUUUCACUCUGCGAUCUUGGCUCCACCCCCUGUUUACUAGUUCUAAAUCCUAUGGUCCUUAUACUCCUAGAAUCAUCUCAAAGAGAUCUAUCUCUAACCUGUUCCUCCAGACUGACUGCCAACAAUUUGUCCUAACCCAUGCCCAGCCUGACUUUGACUGCUACCUUUUUCGUGGCCCAGACAUGCCACCUACUUUUCUGAUGAGAUUCUUAACAAAUUGCCAAGUCUGUGGUAGAGGAACCACUACCAUUGCCAAGAUGGCAAAGGACCUGCUAGUAGAAACUUGCCAUGGUACCUGUUUUCGGUACAUUCUAUAUGGGAUAGAUCCUCAUAAAUGCAGUGUAAACAAGAUCCAGUGUGCUCUGUGAAAAUGAAGUGCCUUCCUGUCUUGGGGACAACUCAGCCUACCCAGCUCUCUGGAGAAACAGAGCCAGAAAGCCCCAUCUUUGAAUUAUGGUACAGAGUACCUGCAGACUUAUUUUUAGGGUAUUCUCAAUGUGAACAGCCUUUUAGAUUCCAAGUGAAUACUGGAUUAAAAAUCUCUCACCCAUUAAAGGAUUAUAUUUUGUCUUUCUUUUUUUUAUCCCCGACGCUAGAUGAAGUGCCUGGCACACAGUGAGUGCUUAAUAAGUAUGACUGAAUGACUCUCAUGUUCAAUUGUUUAUAUAGGCACAUGAUAGGAAGAUGGCAUUAAGGAAGCAAAUGCCUAGUACCAUACACUUUAUCUUAUAUGAGGACCCAUGACUGACAUUCAGAUUGUACUUUCAGGUUUUCAAAGUGCUUACACCGAUGAAUCUCAG